UACGUAGGGGGCUAGCGUUGUCCGGAUUUAUUGGGCGUAAAGGGCGUGUAGGCGGCCAUGUAGGUCCGGUGUGAAAACUCGAGGCUUAACCUCGAGAUGUCAUCGGAAACCAUUUGGCUAGAGUCCGGAAGAGGAGAGUGGAAUUCCUGGUGUAGCGGUGAAAUGCGCAGAUAUCAGGAGGAACACCGGUGGCGAAGGCGGGUCUCUGGGCAGUAACUGACGCUGAGGAGCGAAAGCGUGGGGAGCGAACAGG
Molecule: ribosomal RNA, 253 nt
Filed under: uncultured bacterium
Lineage: Bacteria
Description: partial 16S ribosomal RNA
Rfam family: Bacterial small subunit ribosomal RNA
Source: RNAcentral